GAGUCCUGGUCCGGGAGUGCCGCCAGCGUCUGCAGUGUGAGAACAGGAAGCCAGGGCUGAGACUGGUGGCGACCACAGGAUGGAUAUCAGAUUGGCCCAGGGGAGAGCACCUGCCACACAGAAAGAGGAGCAAUCACAAUGGGACCUUACCUGGAAGAUCUGCUUCAGUGAGAAGAGAGAGCGGCGGAGUUCAGGGCCACUGGAGCCAUACAACUUUUCUGCAAGGGUAGGU
Molecule: long non-coding RNA, 232 nt
Organism: Chinchilla lanigera (long-tailed chinchilla)
Lineage: Eukaryota; Metazoa; Chordata; Mammalia; Rodentia; Chinchillidae
Exons: 3
Source: RefSeq, a predicted model, not a curated record